RNAcentral lists this small RNA (610 nucleotides) under human gut metagenome. The record is from RNAcentral. RNAcentral also lists the same sequence under 1 other name.
GUACGGCACAGUAUCCUAGUUGAAGCACGUUUUACCGAAGACGGGCCUAAAAAUCCGUUAAAGGGCACAUCGAUGAAACUCCUUGUUGCUGCUUUUUACGCCCAGUUUAGGGUGGCUGCUGGGAGGUUAGGACUGCGGGCGAACCGUAAUGGCAUAUGGAGCUCGACCCGCUUUCCGUGGAGGCUUCCUUUCGUGGUUAAAUUGCCGAUCUAUCGCAAAGAGACUACGGCUGGAAGAUUAAACCUAUUACGCGGUGCAAAUUUUACGACGCUGUGGAUAGAGUAGCCUGUCUUGAGUGAUUCUGGCGGAUAGAGGAAUCAAACCAUGCUUUCCUUGGCCGAGGAAAGAUGGUCAUUGCCUUUUGAAACCAGCGUUGCAAAAGAGACUAGGAAAACGGUAACUUCAUGAAGGAAAACUUCUAGGCUGUUUGUAAUAGGUGUAAAAAGGAUUGCAGUGCGGACUAAACGGCAAUCAAGUCGCGGACGCGGAGACGCUCCGACCUUCGCUUUAAAGGGAAACCACUCUCAUCGGCAACGAAGAGCAGCGUCGGGGGAAAGCCUACUUGACCUAUGCCGCAAGGUUUACUUUUUACACCGCCGAACUCUUUUUU